GAGUUUGAUCCUGGCUCAGAACGAACGCUGGCGGCGUGCCUAACACAUGCAAGUCCAACGUGAAAGGGGAGCAAUCCCCCGGUAGGGUGGCAAACGGGUGAGUAAUACAUGGGUGAUCUACCUUAGGGAUGGGGAUAUCCUUCCGAAAGGAGGGGCAAUACCGAAUAUUGUCCGGAGCCGUGAAGGGUUCCGGGGAAAGGGAGGCCUCUGAUACAAGCUUUCGCCUUAAGAUGAGCCCAUGGCCCAUCAGCUAGUUGGUAGGGUAAAGGCCUACCAAGGCUACGACGGGUCGCUGGUCUGAGAGGACGACCAGCCACACUGGCACUGAGAUACGGGCCAGACUCCUACGGGAGGCAGCAGUGAGGAAUAUUGCGCAAUGGGGGAAACCCUGACGCAGCAACGCCGCGUGUGGGAAGAAGGCCUUCGGGUCGUAAACCACUUUUGCACGGGACGAAAAAGGGAUAUCGAACAAAUAUCCCCGAUGACGGUACCGUGAGAAUAAGCCACGGCUAACUCUGUGCCAGCAGCCGCGGUAAGACAGAGGUGGCAAGCGUUGUUCGGAAUUACUGGGCGUUAAAGAGUCUGUAGGUGGUUUGUCAAGUCUUUGGUGAAAGGCCGUAGCUUAACUAUGGG
This 633-nucleotide ribosomal RNA is filed under the name uncultured bacterium. RNAcentral describes it as "bacterial SSU rRNA". It matches the Rfam family "Bacterial small subunit ribosomal RNA", at positions 9 to 619 of the family's 1533-position model. The record is from RNAcentral.